RNAcentral lists this ribosomal RNA (497 nucleotides) under uncultured bacterium. Its description in RNAcentral is "partial 16S ribosomal RNA". It matches the Rfam family "Bacterial small subunit ribosomal RNA", at positions 28 to 507 of the family's 1533-position model. The record is from RNAcentral.
GAUGAACGCUGGCGGCGUGCCUAAUACAUGCAAGUCGAGCGAACGGACGAGAAGCUUGCUUCUCUGAUGUUAGCGGCGGACGGGUGAGUAACACGUGGAUAACCUACCUAUAAGACUGGUAUAACUUCGGGAAACCGGCGCUAAUACCGGAUAAUCUUUUGAACCGCAUGGUUCAAAAGUGAGAGACGGUCUUGCUGUCACUUAUAGAUGGAUCCGCGCUGCUUUAGCUAGUUGGUAAGGUAACGGCUUACCAAGGCAACGAGGCAUAGACGACCUGAGAGGGUGAUAGGCCACACUGGAACUGGGACGCGGUCCAGGCUCCUACGGGAGGCAGCAGUAGGGAAUCGUACGCAGUGGGCGAGAGCCUGACGGAGCAAGGCCGAGUGAGUGAUGGAGGUCUUCGGAUCGUAAAACUCUGUUAUUAGGGAAGAACAGCUGUGUAAGUAGAUGUGGAGAGAUUGACGGUAACUAAUCAGAAAGCCACGGCUAACUACGUG